This 1113-nucleotide ribosomal RNA is filed under the name Triticum aestivum (bread wheat). RNAcentral's name for it is "partial small subunit ribosomal RNA". The record is from RNAcentral. Lineage: Eukaryota; Viridiplantae; Streptophyta; Magnoliopsida; Poales; Poaceae.
AUGCAUUGCCCACUCACCAGUCACAAGUCACAACACAUGGCUCGAUCUCUCCGUCCGAUGCAUCUCGUCGUCCUGGUGAUCCUUUCCACUAUGCCCCUGCCUUCUUCGUGGGGUGCCAUGUCCGACAACCAUGACCUGCUGAUGCUCGGCAGGUUCCACAGGUGGAUGUCGACGCACAACCGCACCUACCCCGGCGCCCACGAGGAGCUGCGCCGGUUUGACGUGUACCGCCGCAACAUGGAGUACAUCGACGCUGCAAACGCGGGCGGUGAGCUCGGCUACGAGCUCGGGGAGAACGAGUUCACCGACCUCACCCACGAGGAGUUCACGGCACGGUACACUGGAGGUAAAUUUGUCAUGAACGACGAUGAUUUUGUUGAUGAGACGAUCAUCACCACUCUUGCCGGGGAUGUCCACGAGGGGCGCGAAACGAUGGAGGACGAGGAUAGCCUGGGACUUCCUGAAAGGUGGGAUUGGAACGAGCAGGGCUUUGUUACACCGGCUAAAAACCAACAGAAAUGCGGAGCAUGUUGGGCAUUCGCCACAGUGGGAGCAGUUGAAAGCCAGCUGAAAAGGAAAACCGGGGAGCUACUGGAUCUAUCUGAGCAGGAGCUACUAGACUGUGACACGACACAGAAACCCGGCGGCUGCAAGGGUGGGAAUCCCUACAGGGCGUUUCUGUGGAUAAAGAGCAAGGGAGGCAUCAUGAAGGAGGCCGAGUACUCAUAUGAGGCACAACAGGGGCAGUGCAGGACCAACAAGGACGCCACCCGUAGGGGCCUGGUCUACCGGGCACAACUACUGAGGUCAGGGGAGAGGUUUCUGCAGGAGGCCGUAUAUACGAUGGGCCCGACGGUCGCCGGCAUCGACACGCACGACCGCAGCCUGCAGCACUUCAAGAGCGGCAUAUACAAAGGGCCAUGCGGCACUGCGCUGGACCACGCGGUGCUCGUGGUGGGAUACGGGGUCAGAGACGGGGAGAAGUACUGGGUCGUCAAGAACUCGUGGGGGCAGACGUUUGGCGAGAAUGGCUUCUUCCUCAUGAGCAGGGGAGCUAAUGGAAACGCCGGGCUGUGCGGCAUCGGGAAGGCGGGCGUCUACGCCCUCGUGUAG